Molecule: ribosomal RNA, 253 nt
Filed under: uncultured bacterium
Lineage: Bacteria
Description: partial 16S ribosomal RNA
Rfam family: Bacterial small subunit ribosomal RNA
Source: RNAcentral
UACGUAGGGUGCAAGCGUUAAUCGGAAUUACUGGGCGUAAAGCGUGCGCAGGCGGUUGUGCAAGCCCGAUGUGAAAUCCCCGGGCUUAACCUGGGAACUGCAUUGGUGACUGCACGGCUAGAGUGUGUCAGAGGGGGGUAGAAUUCCACGUGUAGCAGUGAAAUGCGUAGAUAUGUGGAGGAAUACCGAUGGCGAAGGCAGCCCCCUGGGAUAACACUGACGCUCAUGCACGAAAGCGUGGGGAGCAAACAGG